Long non-coding RNA from Callithrix jacchus (white-tufted-ear marmoset), 3702 nucleotides. Lineage: Eukaryota; Metazoa; Chordata; Mammalia; Primates; Cebidae. The record is from Ensembl.
CUCCUUUUCUUUUCCUUUUUUAAAAAAAGUGUUCAGCAAAACAAGCUUAGACGGAACAGAGUGAGGUGUCUAGGCUCAGGAGUAAAAGAAACACCUUCCUUCCCUCACAUCCGUUUGUGGUUUGUUUAAGAAGAAGAGGAGAAAAAAAAAAAAAGAGGGGGGAAAAGCGCUCAACUCUCCCCCAAGCCGCGGCGCGCACCCGUCGGCGCCGAGCGCGCAGCCUGCUCCGCCGCCGCCUCUCGGUCCCGCCGCCGCCGCCGCCGCCGCCGGGCAGGUAACUUCAUGCGCUCAUUGUCCCCCCGCCCGCCCCCCCCAUCCCCGCCUCCCGCGCCCCUCGCCGCCCGGCACACGCGCUCGGGCUCUAGCUGGACGCCCUAGAGUGCUCUUGGCGGUCCACGAAAAACCUGGAGUCAGCCUCCCCAUUUCUCCGGUCGUAACAGAAAUACAGCUUUCUUCCUGCCUUCAAGACUGACAUGGUGGAGGUUGGGUUGCAAAGAAGAAGCAGGAAGAAAAAAAAUCUUCUAUACAUUCACAAGUCCUUCAAGGAACAAAAUAAAAGAAACAGAAAAUGUGUCCUUUCUCCUAAUAAAGGUCUUUUUGAUAAAAUUUAAAUGAAGUUUUGUGUUUCAUAACAUCAGCUUUCCAAAUACUAUUGUAGAUGCUAAAAUGUACCUAUAUGUAUUCCUUCCACAAUAAUAAUAAUAACAAACUUUUUAGGUCCAAAUUAAGCAUUUCUCAGCUUAAAUUUCUAUCCUCAAUCCAAUAUUUAUUAUAUCAUUUUAAAACUUGAUUAAAAAAAACAUCAUUGAUGUUUACUUGAUGACCUUGUGAACAUCAGGAAGAUGAAAUGAAAUGAAAUGGUUCAAGGCUGGAACAAUACCAUUAUCUGCAUCUUGACACUGAGGAGAUAAUGAUACCUCUUGCUUUGGUCUACAGACCUACCACCUUUCUCUCCCUUGAGGGAAAAUCCAAAUACAUGGGACCUGUGCAUUCCUCUACAUAAUUAGGAGCCUGGUUUCUCCCAUAGGAGUGUAUGGAGUCAGAGUGGUAUUCUGUACAUGGCAUGGUGUGAUCCGUGGGAAUAUGAGGUACUGGGGAAAAAGUUCUUACUUCCAGCCACUUACACAAAGAGACGCCAUCUCAGUGUCAUCUGAAAAAUUUCUCGCUUUAUAAUGCUCUAUAAGGCCCAUCAUAAACUGAAUGGAUGUAUUUCUACCAAAAGUUGGGGAAAGUUGAAUAUCUAAACCUCUGAGUAAAUCUUCUUAAUUUGGAAAAUAAAAUGGUAGAGUGGCAUUGUAAUACUUUUCAGUUUCCUGGACUAUCAACUCCACAUCAUAGCUAAAUAAAAUACUUAUUUGUCCAUUCAUUCGUUCAUUUGUACAUGAAUCAACAGACAGAGUGGUGAAAAACACUAAUGCUAAAAUACAAAAACAAAUUAUUUAAAAUGGUUCCUGCUCUAGAUGUAAUCUUUCAGAGUAGUGUUUUCCAACCUAGUCUGGUCAGUGAAGUCGUCUUAGCAGUUUAGAAAAAUACUCAAGCCAGAGACCCACCCACAUAGAUUCUGAUUCAGUUCUUUUUGAAUGGGGCCUGGGCAUAGAAAUUUUUAAAAGUUCUCCUGUGGCUUUAGGCUGGGAGUGGUGGUUCAUGCUUGUAAUCCCAGCACUUCGGGAGGCCAAGACUGGCAGAUCACGAGGUCAGAAGAUUAAGACCAUUUUGGCUAACACAGUGAAACCCCAUCUCUACUAAAAAUAUAAAAAAUUAGCCAGGUGUAGUGGCACACUCCUGUUGUCCCAGCUACUUGGGAGGCUGAGACAGGAGAGUUGCUUGAACCUGGGAGGUGAAAGAUUGUGCCACUGUACUCCAGAGUGGGCAGCAGAGCGAGACUUUGUCUCAAAAAAAAAAAAAAAAAAAAAAGAAAAAGAAAAAAAUAGUCUCAAUUGGCUUUAAUUUUCAGAAAAGAUUAAGAACCACUGGCCUAAAAGGAAAGAAAAGGUAGUCUAAAGGAAAGGUUCCUUAACAAAGGAAAUGUUAAAAGCAUGAUAUUUUAGUGGAUAGGCUUGUCACUUUGUGUUGGACCCCAUAAGAGGACAUCGAGGAUCACCACUCCCAAAUGUGAACAGUCCAGGAAAGUGCGGGACAUCACCUACUCUGUCUUUUAGAGAUGGAGUUGGCAAUUUGCCCAUUCACUCUUAGUAAACAUGCAUGAAUUGUAAAGGUCCAGGUUACAGUUUAUUCAUCUGACCUAGGAACUUUAUAUACUCUAGUUACCAGAAAAUGAGUGCCCGUAAACAGAACAUCAUUUUACUAAUGCCUAUAUAAUGCUAUCAAUACUUCCUUGUGAAAUUCCUCCUAUGUCCUAGACCUGGUCCUAAUUUCUUUACAUUAUGUUGCUAUCUCAUUUAAUUUUCUGAAUUACUUUGGAAAGCCUCAUCAGUACUUACAAACCACACGGAAUAUUUCAUUUUGUUGCCUCAACAUUGCCCAUCUUCAUUUUAAUUAUAGUUUCACAAAUUGUUAUGUUUUCAAAUGUAUACUUGUUUUCGGUGACCACAUUUUAUGUCUACUGAUUCUUUGUAUUAUGUAGGUAAAGUCCUAAAUCUUGUAGUAAUGUCUUCAAAUCAUAUACAGAAUGUGUUACUUUGGGGGAAAUAGCUUCUAGACAGUUAAUCCUAUAUGUGAUUUACAAGAGUCUUGUAAAAAUUAUUCAACAGACCAUAGUAUUUCCUGGCAGGCAUUUUUUGUUAGAUUUUUGGAGUUAGUUUUUCUUCAAGGGUUGAAGCCCUCUAUAGAUGUACAUGAGAAUGAAAUGUCAUAUAGAGGGGUUGAUUUUGAAAUGUCAGAUAUUAAAACUAAAAUCAAAGCAUGCCAUAUUGUAUAACUAAAUUAAUAUUUAGCCCUUCACUGGCCUUUCUGACUUACGGGCUAGAUUUCCAGUGACAGCUGAUGUCGCAAUAUUUCUAGGGAAAAGAAAGCCUCAUUCUUUUAAAAUACCAUUCAUUUUACACCUCAUAUGGCCCAGCUAGGAUUUUAAGGCCUCAUUAGACAUGUGUAUACCCAACAAGGUUACGGGGUGAAGAAGCUGUUUGUUUCCUUAGAAUCUAGCCAAUCCGGAGUGCUACACAUUUGAGAUUCAAAAAGACAACAUUAAUGGUUUUGAUGGGAAAUGUUUACAUGUUCUCAAUUCACCAGUUGGAAUUUACUGUUGUCCAGGGUUAUUUAACGUUUUUCUAAAGUAAUUUAAAUUCAAAAGGGAAUUAUAUGCAAUAAAUAAUAUCUUUCAAUGGAAGAAUGCAGAGUACUGAAGUUUUCUUUCCUGGGGAGACUAGUAAGAAAUGACUAGACUGUAAGUCUUUCAACCAGAAAAUAAAGGAUUUCAGAAUGAUGAGGAAAGUUUGAAGGAAAUAAUACAGGUCCAUAGAGAGCUCAUAUCGUACUAAAUGACUCAUAAAAUGCAAUAUUUUUUACAUAAUUUGGAAAGUGUGCCAUGCUUGUACAUUUCACCAUUGAGUGUGGUACAGUACUUUGAUCUUCAACAACACACAUUUGUGACAUAAUAGCCAUAAUAGCACUAUUCAGCUAUUUUACAUGGCAAUAAUCCAGUCCUCUCUCAUCAGGAUAAACUGUGAGGACAAAUCCUUUCAAAAUCAGAAUUAGUUCCUUGAAGAAGAGUGAGGCUACAAUUAUCCCUUAAAUAGGAGCAGC